Molecule: RNA transcript, 6568 nt
Organism: Myotis myotis
Lineage: Eukaryota; Metazoa; Chordata; Mammalia; Chiroptera; Vespertilionidae
Gene: EPHA4
Gene name: EPH receptor A4
Exons: 18
Source: RefSeq, a predicted model, not a curated record
CACCAAGGCCGAUUUAUUUGGUGAUGGAGGGGGGGAAAGUGGUCGGGGAGAGAGCCUUUUCCUGACCCUUUGAGCACUCUCAGAUAGAAUUCACUUGUGGCUCUGUCACCAUGAUGAUGAGUUAUGCGGUCAUCUGAAACUUGUAAAAACAAAUAACUCCAGUAGACACCAGACAGAGAUGAAUGCAGAUUUUGCUCUGGAGUGCAACUGCCCUACAUAGAUAUAUUUAUUUUUUGAAUUGUACUUGAGAUUCUCUAUUCAUCCUUUUUAGAAAAUGAAUCAACUGAGUCCUGGGAUGGAAUUUUAAAUGCUCAGCAAGUUAAAUAAAUAAGAACUUGCAGAUUUAAAGAGGGGAGAAGAUCAAUUACCUUAUUGGAUUCCAGAUCCGUUCAGGGAGAACUUGGGUGGAUAGCAAGCCCUCUGGAAGGAGGGUGGGAGGAAGUGAGUAUUAUGGAUGAAAAAAAUACACCCAUCCGAACCUACCAAGUGUGCAACGUGAUGGAACCCAGCCAGAAUAACUGGCUCCGAACUGACUGGAUCACCCGAGAAGGGGCCCAAAGGGUGUACAUUGAGAUCAAGUUCACCUUGAGGGACUGCAAUAGUCUUCCAGGCGUCAUGGGGACUUGCAAGGAGACGUUUAACCUGUACUACUAUGAAUCGGACAACGACAAGGAGCGUUUUAUCCGAGAGAGCCAGUUUGCCAAGAUCGACACCAUCGCCGCUGAUGAGAGCUUCACCCAAGUGGACAUCGGCGACCGAAUCAUGAAGCUGAACACCGAGGUCCGAGAUGUAGGGCCACUGAGCAAAAAGGGCUUUUACCUGGCUUUUCAGGAUGUGGGCGCCUGCAUCGCCCUGGUGUCCGUCCGCGUGUUCUAUAAGAAGUGUCCGCUCACCGUGCGCAAUCUGGCCCAGUUUCCAGACACCAUCACGGGGGCUGAUACGUCUUCUCUGGUGGAAGUCCGCGGCUCCUGUGUCAACAACUCAGAAGAGAAGGAUGUGCCAAAAAUGUACUGCGGGGCAGAUGGUGAAUGGCUGGUACCCAUUGGCAACUGCCUCUGCAAUGCCGGGCAUGAAGAGCGGAAUGGAGAAUGCCAAGCCUGCAAAAUUGGCUAUUACAAAGCCCUCUCCACGGAUGCCACCUGUGCCAAGUGCCCACCCCACAGCUACUCUGUCUGGGAAGGAGCCAUAUCCUGCACCUGUGAUCGAGGCUUUUUCAGAGCCGACAGUGAUGCUGCCUCAAUGCCCUGUACCCGCCCACCAUCUGCUCCCCUAAACUUGAUUUCAAAUGUCAAUGAGACUUCAGUGAACUUGGAAUGGAGCAUUCCUCAGAACACGGGUGGCCGCCAGGACAUUUCCUACAAUGUGGUGUGCAAGAAAUGCGGAGCUGGUGAUUCUAGCAAGUGCCGACCCUGUGGCAGUGGGGUCCACUACACCCCACAGCAGAAUGGCCUGAAGACCACCAAAGUCUCCAUCACUGACCUCCUGGCUCAUACCAAUUACACAUUUGAAAUCUGGGCGGUGAAUGGAGUGUCCAAGUAUAACCCUAGUCCGGAUCAGUCAGUGUCUGUCACCGUGACAACCAACCAAGCAGCACCAUCAUCCAUUGCUUUGGUCCAGGCUAAAGAGGUUACCAGAUACAGUGUUGCCCUGGCUUGGCUGGAACCAGAUCGGCCCAAUGGAGUGAUCUUAGAGUAUGAAGUCAAGUAUUAUGAGAAGGAUCAGAAUGAGCGAAGCUAUCGCAUUGUCCGGACAGCUGCCAGGAACACUGAUAUCAAAGGUCUGAAUCCUCUGACUUCCUAUGUUUUCCAUGUCCGGGCCAGGACAGCAGCUGGCUAUGGAGAUUUCAGUGAGCCUCUGGAGGUCACAACCAACACAGUGCCUUCUCGGAUCAUUGGAGAUGGGGCCAACUCCACAGUCCUUCUGGUCUCCGUAGCUGGCAGUGUGGUGCUAGUGGUCAUUCUCAUCGCAGCUUUUGUCAUCAGCAGGAGACGGAGUAAAUACAGUAAAGCCAAGCAAGAGGCAGAUGAAGAGAAACAUUUGAAUCAAGGUGUUAGAACUUAUGUGGAUCCCUUUACAUAUGAGGAUCCCAACCAAGCAGUUAGAGAAUUUGCCAAAGAAAUCGACGCAUCCUGCAUUAAGAUAGAAAAAGUCAUAGGAGUUGGUGAAUUUGGUGAAGUCUGCAGUGGGCGUCUCAAAGUGCCUGGCAAGAGAGAGAUCUGUGUGGCCAUUAAGACGCUGAAAGCCGGUUAUACAGACAAACAGAGGAGAGACUUCCUGAGUGAGGCCAGCAUCAUGGGACAGUUUGACCACCCGAAUAUAAUUCACAUGGAAGGCGUCGUCACCAAAUGUAAACCAGUGAUGAUCAUAACAGAGUACAUGGAGAAUGGCUCUUUGGAUGCAUUCCUCAGGAAGAAUGACGGCAGAUUCACAGUCAUUCAGCUGGUGGGCAUGCUUCGUGGCAUUGGGUCUGGGAUGAAGUACUUAUCUGAUAUGAGCUAUGUGCAUCGAGAUCUGGCUGCACGGAACAUUCUGGUAAAUAGCAACUUGGUCUGCAAAGUGUCCGAUUUUGGCAUGUCCCGAGUACUGGAGGAUGAUCCGGAAGCAGCUUAUACCACAAGGGGUGGCAAGAUUCCUAUCCGGUGGACUGCGCCAGAAGCAAUUGCCUAUCGUAAAUUCACAUCAGCAAGUGAUGUAUGGAGCUACGGAAUCGUUAUGUGGGAAGUGAUGUCGUAUGGAGAGAGACCCUAUUGGGAUAUGUCCAAUCAAGACGUGAUUAAAGCCAUUGAGGAAGGCUAUCGGCUACCCCCUCCAAUGGACUGUCCAAUCUCACUCCACCAGCUGAUGUUAGAUUGCUGGCAGAAGGAGAGGAGUGACAGGCCUAAAUUUGGGCAGAUUGUCAACAUGUUGGACAAACUCAUCCGCAACCCCAGCAGCUUGAAGAGGACGGGAACCGAGAGCUCCAGACCCAACACUGCCUUGUUGGAUCCAAGCUCCCCUGAAUUCUCCGCCGUGGUAUCGGUGGGCGACUGGCUGCAGGCCAUUAAAAUGGACCGGUAUAAGGAUAAUUUCACAGCUGCUGGUUAUACCACACUAGAGGCUGUGGUGCACAUGAACCAGGACGACCUGGCACGAAUUGGCAUCACAGCUGUCACCCACCAGAAUAAGAUUUUGAGCAGCGUCCAGGCGAUGCGAACCCAGAUGCAGCAGAUACACGGCAGGAUGGUUCCCGUCUGAGCCAGUACUGAAUAAACUCAAAACUCUUGAAAUUAGUUUACCUCAUCCAUGCACUUUAAUUGAAGAACUGCACUUUUUUUACUUCGUCUUCGCCCUCUGAAAUUAAAAAACAAAAACAAAAUCGAAAAACCUAUCUGCAGUGUUGCUUGGUGUACAGAAUGCUGGAAAAUGGGGCUCACAGAAAUGACCAGUGUCAUUUGAAUUCGACCUGGAACAAAUUGUUUCUCAGAAGUACUGGGUCCAUCGCCAGUUUGUAAAAUACACAUACCUGUGCAAAUAGGACUCCGCCUCUGAGUUUUGAUGCUGUACCUGCUGCCGGACACUGGGCUUUCUUGAGACAUCCUGAUCCUCACUCCAUUUGGAAUUACAACUAGUAUUUUGUGUGUGGCAUAAAUGACAGUCCUCCUUUCACUGGAAUGAAGGCCAUGCCCAGGAACAUUUUUGAAAGACUCACUUGUAGCUAUUAAGGCUUGGCUCAUGCCAGGGGGAAGAACACAGGUGAAAACCGGGUGGCUCAUCAGUGUAGUUCCUCAAAGCUCAGGCCACCUGGUGGAUUGUGAUGCCAUGAGGGGAUGGAAAGAAAAAGAAAGUGGAUUUAAAAAUAAUAAUAAUAAUAAACCCCAAACACCCUACAUCCCUGACUGGACAAACGAGGUCUGUUUCUUUGGGCCUGAGGCUGUGCCAUAGAGUCGUAUUUUGGGACUCUACAAACUUACCGUAACUACCUUACGGAUAGUGGACUGUGACAAUCUUGAAUAGGGAAUGUUCACACUUCCCUUCUUUAAAGAAGCAAACCCAAAUCUCCAAGGGAGUAGAUUCUGCUAUCUUGGCCUCACAGCCCUUCCUGUUGAUUACAAAGCCCACAAAGAAAACAGAACACACCCUUCUUGGUUCCUUAGAAAUGUGUUUCUUCUGCUUCUACUAUGCCAGUUCUGGAGCAAAGACAUUGAUGAAACAGCACCCAAAUACCUGAAAUAAAUAAAUCUAUGACUUUCAAAUCCCCUUUCCAGUGAAAGAAGCAGCAAACAUUCAAGGUUCGGCAUCUAUUCUCCGGUUGCACUGAGGAAUGUACUGUCUCAAAGCACCAGCUCUGCAGAACCCUUGUUCCCAAACUCCUUGUGGUUUUAUUUAUAUCUAUUUCCAUAUCUCAUUGCUGUACAUCACUGCUGCAUUGGUGUGGCAGCAAGUGACCGAAGGCAACAGGUUUUAUUAUGGACACCAGGUCAGGUGCCACCACACAACACAAAGCCAGUUCUCAUGAACUGCCUAUGAUAUGCAUUGCUGAAGUAACAUUUUACCCAGGGUGUGCCAUUGCAGUGAUAUAAAUAUAUUUUUUUCCUAGACUAAAUAUGAGCUGACUAUCUGUUUUGAUGUGUGUACAUAGGUGUGAGUGUGUGUGGAUGCGUGUGGAUGUAUGUGUGUUGUGUGUGUGUGUGUGUGUGUGUGUGUGUGUGUGUGUGUGUAACCUCAUGCUUAGAACUGCCUGUGAAUGUCGUGGAAUGCUACACCUGAAGUGUUCUGGUUUUCCACCAGUUCUGAGAUGAAGAGCCACACAAAAUAGUGAUCUGGAGACCAUGCCCAUCCCCUUAGAAGGAAACCCAGAAAUGUUAAAUGUCUGUAUUUAUGUUGUAUUUUAUAGCUGCCACACUAACCUUAAUAAGUAAUUAUACAGCUUUGGGCAGAGCAUUUUCACCUUAGUGGUGGAGUAAUCUUAGAAUAUAAAUAUAAACCCAUUCAAGUGACAAUCCAUCUUCAAAGUCACGAUUCUGAUUGAACUCAUCUGAAUCACUAGUUCCUUGAUGGAGAGAGAGAGAAGGGGAUGGAAUUUGUCUGGUAAUCCCAAAUGGAAUACAAGUAGCCUUUGUUUUCCUGCAUAAAUGGACUUGAUGAAUGCGAACAAAUAUAUGCAAUUCAUAUACUUUUGGAGAUGAACGUAGACAUGUGUGUCAGCUUUGAGAUGAUGUGUCCUGGAUUAAUACUUUGUCUCCCAAUGUCACAGAAAAAUGUAUGCCGGUGACUCUUGAGGUUAGCAUAGAUGGGAUUAAAUAGCCUCGAGCAAUUUCAGGUUCCCAAUUACAUGGAAAGUUCUACAAUUAUUAAUAUAGAGCUAACUCCUAUGGCCCACAAAAGUGCAUCAGCCUUCUAGAAUCUGAGGUCCACUGUGCAAAGAUUCUGUUUUGAUAUGAUAUGUAUACCAAACUCCAGCCAACAUACUGCCAUGUUUCAUAAUUGAGUGGCUGCCUUGCUUAUUUUAAGCUAUGGUUGCAGAAACUGUGGCCAUUUAUAUAAGCUAUAACAUCAAAUCAGGGAAAAAUGGGAAACAAAAGAUUCUGAACCCUAUAUUGUUGAAUAAGUAAAAAAAAAAUCAUCAAUAAAUAUUUAUUGCAUUCUGACAGGGUGUAUGGCAUUGUAUUCUCAGAACUAUGCCAGAGUGACAAAGUUAAUUCACCCCUUUUUGGGGACCUUAAUAUAUUUUUAAAGGGAUGUGCCUAUGCAUUAAUGCCUGAAAAAUAUGUAUAAAGAAAUGAGGUUGAAUCUCUGAGCAAGUCACCUUUCCCCAGAGGUAAGGGCAGGAGGCCAGCUUUAGGGACUGGGUCUAGCCCCAUGAGUUAGUGCUGACCUAGUGAGUUCAGAUCUACCAUUAGGAAGCAUUAAGCUGAUCCCCUGCACCAAAUCAAGUAGCUUCACCAUGUGUCCACUGGCCCCAAAUUAUUUUUAACAAUUUUAUGAAUAAAAAGUUCUGGUGUGUUUUAAAAGUUAUUUUAAAGAAAGGCUGUGCUCACUACACUGUUGGUGUGUGUGUUUUGAGAGCUCUUGUAUUCAAUCUGUGAAGGAUAUGUAUAUUAAUCCAUACACGCGUAUAGCCUCAAUAUUUGUCUGAAGACACUUAAAUUCUGACCAAUAAAGCAAAGUUCUAGAAGCAAUAUUUUCACUUAUUUAACAUUCUCCAAACAACAUCAAGCAUUGAUACACACUAAAGAGUGUAUUUAUUAUUUUUUAUCACUCCAAGUAUGUUGGAAUAUGCAAGGACUGUGGUUAAAAUUAGAAUGUAUAAGGCAUAUUAUAAUUUAGUUCAUACUGAAAAAUAAAUUAACUGAACAUUGCUUGGUUCAUGUUCCAAAAUUUGAGCAAUUUCUUGAGUUAGACAUAGAAUUUCUAUUUUGUUUUAAUUUGUCAAGAUAUUUUCUUCCCUUCAUAAAACUUAGGUACACAUAACUUAUGUCACUUAUUUAUGGUCUUUUAUACCUAGUUUGUAAAAUUGUAAAAUAGCAAACUAAAUGCAAAGAGUUUGCAUUUGAAAACAAUAAAGUAGUUGCCAUAUUCAAACCUGGAA